CUCAGGACGAACGCUGGCGGCGUGCUUAACACAUGCAAGUCGAACGGAAAGGCCCUGCUUUUGUGGGGUGCUCGAGUGGCGAACGGGUGAGUAACACGUGAGUAACCUGCCCUUGACUUUGGGAUAACUUCAGGAAACUGGGGCUAAUACCGGAUAGGAGCUCCUGCUGCAUGGUGGGGGUUGGAAAGUUUCGGCGGUUGGGGAUGGACUCGCGGCUUAUCAGCUUGUUGGUGGGGUAGUGGCUUACCAAGGCUUUGACGGGUAGCCGGCCUGAGAGGGUGACCGGCCACAUUGGGACUGAGAUACGGCCCAGACUCCUACGGGAGGCAGCAGUGGGGAAUAUUGCACAAUGGGCGGAAGCCUGAUGCAGCAACGCCGCGUGCGGGAUGACGGCCUUCGGGUUGUAAACCGCUUUCGCCUGUGACGAAGCGUGAGUGACGGUAAUGGGUAAAGAAGCACCGGCUAACUACGUGCCAGCAGCCGCGGUGGUACGUAGGGUGCGAGCGUUGUCCGGAUUUAUUGGGCGUAAAGGGCUCGUAGGUGGUUGAUCGCGUCGGAAGUGUAAUCUUGGGGCUUAACCCUGAGCGUGCUUUCGAUACGGGUUGACUUGAGGAAGGUAGGGGAGAAUGGAAUUCCUGGUGGAGCGGUGGAAUGCGCAGAUAUCAGGAGGAACACCAGUGGCGAAGGCGGUUCUCUGGGCCUUUCCUGACGCUGAGGAGCGAAAGCGUGGGGAGCGAACAGGCUUAGAUACCCUGGUAGUCCACGCUGUAAACGGUGGGUACUAGGUGUGGGGUCCAUUCCACGGGUUCCGUGCCGUAGCUAACGCUUUAAGUACCCCGCCUGGGGAGUACGGCCGCAAGGCUAAAACUCAAAGGAAUUGACGGGGCCCCGCACAAGCGGCGGAGCAUGCGGAUUAAUUCGAUGCAACGCGUAGAACCUUACCUGGGUUUGACAUGGAUCGGGAGUGCUCAGAGAUGGGUGUGCCUCUUUUGGGGUCGGUUCACAGGUGGUGCAUGGCUGUCGUCAGCUCGUGUCGUGAGAUGUUGGGUUAAGUCCCGCAACGAGCGCAACCCUUGUUCACUGUUGCCAGCACGUUAUGGUGGGGACUCAGUGGAGACCGCCGGGGUCAACUCGGAGGAAGGUGGGGAUGACGUCAAGUCAUCAUGCCCCUUAUGUCCAGGGCUUCACGCAUGCUACAAUGGCUGGUACAGAGAGUGGCGAGCCUGUGAGGGUGAGCGAAUCUCGGAAAGCCGGUCUCAGUUCGGAUUGGGGUCUGCAACUCGACCUCAUGAAGUCGGAGUCGCUAGUAAUCGCAGAUCAGCAACGCUGCGGUGAAUACGUUCCCGGGGCUUGUACACACCGCCCGUCAAGUCAUGAAAGUUGGUAACACCCGAAGCCGGUAGCCUAACCGUUGUGGGGGAGCCGUCGAAGGUGGGACU
This 1439-nucleotide ribosomal RNA is filed under the name uncultured organism. Its description in RNAcentral is "SSU rRNA". It matches the Rfam family "Bacterial small subunit ribosomal RNA". The record is from RNAcentral.